AGCUCCAAUAGCGUAUAUUAAAGUUGUUGCGGUUAAAAAGCUCGUAGUUGGAUUUCUGUUGAGGUCAGCCGGUGUGCUCCUUGAGCAUUAUUUGGUUUGGUCUUGGCAUCCUCCUGGGGAGCGUUUCUGGCCUUCGUUGGACAGGACGAGAUUCAGAACUUUUACUUGAGGAAAUUAGAGUGUUCACGGCAGGCAAGUGCUUUGAAUACAUUAGCAUGGAAUAAUAAUAUAGGACCUUCGUUCUAUUUUGUUGGUUUCUAGAGCUUAGGUAAUGAUUAAUAGGGACAAUUGGGGGCAUUCGUAUUAACGCGUCAGAGGUGGAAUUCUUGGAUUGCGUUACGACGAACUACUGCGAAAGCAUUUGCCAAAGAUGUUUUCAUUGAUCAAGACGAAAGU
This 396-nucleotide ribosomal RNA is filed under the name uncultured eukaryote. Its description in RNAcentral is "SSU rRNA". It matches the Rfam family "Eukaryotic small subunit ribosomal RNA", at positions 587 to 990 of the family's 1831-position model. The record is from RNAcentral.